GUUAAAGGUGGUUUUAUUGGUAUUAUGCUUUUUAUUCCUUAUUUUGACAGGAAUUAACAUGAACUGAAUGAAGGAAACUGAAGUAGUAAGGAGUUGGACUCAAAAGAAGAAGGAAAAGUGCCUAAAAGAGGAAUCACAAGGUUCACUAAGCGCAAAUCUACCGUUGAGUGCCAGCCUCGUGGUGGAGUUUUCUGGACAACACCUAAGCGCCAAUGAUGAGGGGAAAAUCAAGUGUUGCAGCACUAGUAAAAAACUGACUUUUUACAGCGCACAUUAUGCCGCGAUUCACCAGAAACUGCAGCAUAAUACUACGCGGUGGCAUUUUUGAAAAUAAAACGAACUUAUAAGUCGUGGUUGUUCUGAGAACUAUCACCUAUUCCCCAGUCAAACAUCUGCCUUUGACGCCACGUCAGAAAACCAAAAAUUCUGGGGGAAUAGGUCGCAAUUGCUCUGAGAACCACGGCCUAUUCCCCUGCAACCUUUUGACAUUCCCCACUAGUCAGCCUUACAAUAAAUUGGCAGGGGAAUAGGCCGCGGUUCUGCUAGAAACUGCGGCCUAUUCUCCUGCAAAUUUAUUUCAGGGGCGGACAACGCGAAGAAUUUCAGAAGUUGCUGGGGGAAAUAGGCCGCAGUUGCUCUGUGAACCGCGACUAUUCCCCCUGAAACUUCUGACCAUGUCAGUGGCUGUAAUAAAUUGCAUGGGGAAUAUCAAAAGUUAAAGGGAAUAGGCCGUAGUUGAACGUUAUUCUGAAAAUAAUAAGUGUGGGAGUUAGACCGUGGUUGUCGGUGGAACCGCUGUCUAUUCUCGUAUUUAGGACAAUAGGUCACAAUUGGGGAGGAAACCGCGACAUAAAGUGUGGUGAAAAUUUUCAAAAUUACCAUUUCAUUUUAAUUUUUAUUUUAUUUAAUGGGAAUAGACCGUGGUUCUCCCUAAGAACUGCGGUAGUAACGUUUAAUUAGGUUAAAAAAAAAAUAGUGAACAAUUUCUUCUUCGUCGCGAAGAAACUAUUGUAACUCUCUAUACGCUCUCCUCUUCGCCGUGCAUUGUCUGUGUACUCUGUGCAUUGUCUCUAUCACCGUGCCAUUCCUCUGAAUAUUCCAAUCAUUUGCUACUCUUCUCUCUAGCGUGCCACCAUUCUGUCGGAACUCUCCGCCACGCCAUUCUUUCUCUGCUCUUCGUCGUGCCAUCAUUUGCGCCAUUCUCGCCCUGCUCGUGUUCGUCGUAAUCACCAUGUCAAAUAGGUAAAUUUUCUUAAUCAUCAUUACCAACAAUUAUUAUACCCAUGUAUGUGAAUUAAUUAGUAUAAUUAUAAUGAUGAAUUAGUGUCUUGCGCUUUGGCUUUAUGAAAGGAUAUGCCUCUCCCUCUCUGGGUUUGAUAGCAUGUGAUGAAUAGUAAUAGUUUGAUUAGAAGAUUAGUGAUACAAAAACAGAAGAGAAAUUUAAUAGUAAUAGUUUUCUUUUUGGGAAAUGUAUUUUUACUUAAUUCUAUUUUUUGUU
This 1498-nucleotide long non-coding RNA is filed under the name Vigna radiata. RNAcentral describes it as "long non-coding RNA (VRAD_LNC011615)". The record is from RNAcentral. Lineage: Eukaryota; Viridiplantae; Streptophyta; Magnoliopsida; Fabales; Fabaceae.